This 1124-nucleotide long non-coding RNA is filed under the name Ananas comosus (pineapple). RNAcentral's name for it is "long non-coding RNA (ACOM_LNC014547)". The record is from RNAcentral. Lineage: Eukaryota; Viridiplantae; Streptophyta; Magnoliopsida; Poales; Bromeliaceae.
GAGCCGUCGAGCUCGUGCUGCUCGCAGCUCGCGACCGUCGUCCAGGCGGAGCCGCAGUGCCUCUGCCUGGUGCUCAACGGCAGCGCGUCCUCGAUCGGGAUCGCCGUCAACCAGACGCGCGCCCUCGGCCUCCCCGCCGCCUGCAAGGUCCAGACCCCGCCCCUCAGCAAGUGCAGCAGUAAGAACACCCCCGGGAACACUUUGAAUUGAAGUUGUCUGCGUAGUCCCUCUGCUAUCCUGAUAUUGCACUUCGAACCAUGAACUUUUCCGCAAUAUCUGGAUCAUUUUAGGGACUAUGCAUACAUUUUACCCCUUCAAUUGCUCAAACUACUAAUGUUAAAUGCAAUUUUUUUUUAAAAAAAAAAGGAAAUUCUUAUUAAAUUUUGCUAUGAAAUCUUUAACAGCAAAUGGUGCACCCACUGCUGCUCCAACCACACCAUCCACAACCACCCCAUCAACGCAAAAUGCUCCUGCAGUAAACUCUCCACCAGGUAAGAGAAUUUACUAAAUAUUAAUGAAUUAAUUACUAAUUAGAGGAUAAAUGAGGGAUUAAAUCCAAACUAUUCCCCCUUUUUCUACCCAAAAAAAGAAAAGAGAAAAAAGCUUAGGGAUGGUUAGUCUGGUCAAAAAUCUGAUUUUUCUCUCAGUUGGCCUGGAAUUUUUAAAAGAUACAACCAAGAGAAUAAGAAUAGUAAUCCUAUUUGACCUUCUCAUGGAAAAAGCUUGUCCUAAAAGUUAACAUCAGACAAGAAAACUCAGAUAUUCCAACAACAAAAAAAUCUAGAAGCAUUUGCACUAAAAUCCCUCAAGAGCUUCUCUCUACAGCAGAAUCAGAAACUACAUAUUACAGCUACUAGUUUUUGGAGUUCAAUAUCUAGUUUCAGCUUUUCACUAGAACAGCAUCUAUAGACUUUUCUAGCUGCAAAACAACUACAGUUAAAAGUAGAAACAGAAGUGCAACGAAAGAGGAAUUUACGAACAUUGAACCUCGGUGCAGGUGAAGGUGGAUCGAAGACAGUGCCGACGUCAGCCGGAAUUGCUCUUCAAACCCCGGCCCCUUUCAUCUUCUCCCUUCUCUUUGCUGCGGCAUUCGCCUCCUCGGCCUUUUAGACCUGCUUCUUGUU